RNAcentral lists this ribosomal RNA (301 nucleotides) under uncultured bacterium. Its description in RNAcentral is "partial 16S ribosomal RNA". It matches the Rfam family "Bacterial small subunit ribosomal RNA", at positions 512 to 808 of the family's 1533-position model. The record is from RNAcentral.
CAUAGCCGCGGGAAUACGUGGGUGGCAAGCGUUGUCCGGAAUUAUUGGGCGUAAAGGGCUCGCAGGCGGUUUCUUAAGUCUGAUGUGAAAGCCCCCGGCUCAACCGGGGAGGGUCAUUGGAAACUGGGAAACUUGAGUGCAGAAGAGGAGAGUGGAAUUCCACGUGUAGCGGUGAAAUGCGUAGAGAUGUGGAGGAACACCAGUGGCGAAGGCGACUCUCUGGUCUGUAACUGACGCUGAGGAGCGAAAGCGUGGGGAGCGAACAGGAUUAGAGACCCCGGUAGUCCCUGUCUCUUAUACC